RNAcentral lists this long non-coding RNA (635 nucleotides) under Monodelphis domestica (gray short-tailed opossum). RNAcentral's name for it is "lncRNA (ENSMODG00000044306.1)". The record is from RNAcentral. Lineage: Eukaryota; Metazoa; Chordata; Mammalia; Didelphimorphia; Didelphidae.
GGGUCACACAGCUGGGAAGUGUCUGAGGCCAGAUUUGAACCUAGGACCUCCUGUCUCUAGGUCUGGCUCGCAAUCCACUGAGUUACCAGAUGCCCCAUACAGUGUGAUUCUUUGCUGAAUUUGUUUAUAUUCCUUCCCUUGAAAAUAAACCUAGAGAAUUACCUCAAGGUCUGUAAGGUGGAGAAGAAAAAAUUUUUAAAAAGAGAGCAAGCACCAAAAUUGCUAGGUGACUUUGAAAAUAGAGCAUCUGGCCUUGGAGUGAAGAAGAUCAGAGUUUGAAUUCUGCUUCAGACACUAACUAUGCAACUCUAGGCUCCAUCAAGAUAAGCAGCCCAGAGAUACUUUGAAGUCAAGCCAAGCUGAAGGUUGAGGAUGAAAACCAUUGACUCCAAGCUAAGAAUUCAAAGGAAGUUAACAAAGGAAGUUAAGGAUUUAGUGACAACGAUCAGAGCUCGGCACGCCUCGUUCCAGACGUCCAGACCUCGCACUCUAUAAAUCCUUUCUGCCCUUGCCCCAGAGUUGCUGACUAUAUGUAUUUUGGGCCCCGGCUUUAAUUCCCUCAUCCUUGGCUGGUGACAUGAAGAUUUGUAACUGAUAGAAUGUGUUUUUAAUGUAUUUCCUGCAGGUUGCUAUUA